GAUGAAGAACGCAGCGAAAUGCGAUAAGUAAUGUGAAUUGCAGAAUUCAGUGAAUCAUCGAAUCUUUGAACGCACAUUGCGCCCGCCAGUAUUCUGGCGGGCAUGCCUGUUCGAGCGUCAUUUCAACCAUCAAGCCCCCGGCUUGUGUUGGGGACCUGCGGCUGCCGCAGGCCCUGAAAAGCAGUGGCGGGCUCGCUGUCACACCGAGCGUAGUAGCAUACAUCUCGCUCUGGGCGUGCUGCGGGUUCCGGCCGUUAAACCACCUUCAUAACCCAAGGUUGACCUCGGAUCGGGUAGGAAGACCCGCUGAACUUAAGCAUAUCAAUAAGCGGAGGA
This 336-nucleotide unclassified non-coding RNA is filed under the name soil metagenome. RNAcentral describes it as "partial contains 5.8S ribosomal RNA, internal transcribed spacer 2, and large subunit ribosomal RNA". The stretch from base 1 to 120 matches the Rfam family "5.8S ribosomal RNA", at positions 35 to 154 of the family's 154-position model. The record is from RNAcentral.